GCGUGAGUGAAGAAGGCCCUAGGGUUGUAAAACUCUUUCAAUCGUGAAGAUGAUGACGGUAACGAUAGAAGAAGCACCGGCUAACUUCGUGCCAGCAGCCGCGGUAAUACGAAGGGUGCUAGCGUUGUUCGGAAUUACUGGGCGUAAAGCGCGCGUAGGCGGAUUGAUCAGUCAGAGGUGAAAGCCCCGAGCUCAACUUGGGAACUGCCUUUGAUACUGUCAGUCUUGAGUCCGAGAGAGGUUAGUGGAAUUCCCAGUGUAGAGGUGAAAUUCGU
RNAcentral lists this ribosomal RNA (275 nucleotides) under uncultured bacterium. RNAcentral describes it as "partial 16S ribosomal RNA". It matches the Rfam family "Bacterial small subunit ribosomal RNA", at positions 399 to 691 of the family's 1533-position model. The record is from RNAcentral.